Oncorhynchus keta (chum salmon) is the source of this 803-nucleotide long non-coding RNA. RefSeq lists it as uncharacterized. The transcript has 3 exons. The record is from RefSeq and is a predicted model, not a curated record. NCBI's taxonomy places the organism in Eukaryota, Metazoa, Chordata, Actinopteri, Salmoniformes, Salmonidae.
GGAGGACAGGGAGGUGGGAGGGAAGAGAGAGAAGCAGGAAGGAACAGAGGAUUGGAGGCUGUGAGGAGGAGGGAGGUAAGAGAGAGAAGCAGGAAGGAACAGAGGAUUGGAGGCUGUGAGGAGGAGGGAGGUAAGAGAGAGAAGCAGGAAGGAACAGAGGAUUGGAGGCUGUGAGGAGGAGGGAGGUAAGAGAGAGAAGCAGGAAGGAACAGAGGAUUGGAGGCUGUGAGGAGGAGGGAGGUAAGAGAGAGAAGCAGGAAGGAACAGAGGAUUGGAGGCUGUGAGGAGGAGGGAGGUAAGAGAGAGAAGCAGGAAGGAACAGAGGAUUGGAGGCUGUGAGGAGGAGGGAGGUAAGAGAGAGAAGCAGGAAGGAACAGAGGAUUGGAGGCUGUGAAGAGGAAGGAGGUAAGAGAGAGAAGCAGGAAGGAACAGAGGAGGAUUGGAGGCUGUAAGGAGGGGGAGGGAUGAGAAGGAUUGGAGGCUGUGAGGAGGGGAGGGGGCAGGAAGGAAAAGAGGAGGAUUGAAGGCUGUGGGGAGGGGAGAGGGGGGGUCAGGAAGGAAAAGAGGAGGGUUGAAGGCUGUGAGGAAGGGAGAGGGGGGACAGGAAGGAAAAGAGGAGGAUUGAAGGCUGUGAGGACGCGAGACGGGGGUGCAGGAAGGAAAAGAGGAGGAUUGAAGGCUGUGGGGAGGGGAGAGGGGGGUCAGAAAGGAAAAGAGGAGGGUUGAAGGCUGUGAGGAAGGGAGAGGGGGGGCAGGAAGGAAAAGAGGAGGGUUGAAGGCUGUGAGGAAGGGAGAGGGGGGGC